Molecule: transfer RNA, 62 nt
Filed under: Galerucella birmanica (water lily leaf beetle)
Lineage: Eukaryota; Metazoa; Arthropoda; Insecta; Coleoptera; Chrysomelidae
Also listed under: 7 other names
Description: tRNA-Thr
Source: RNAcentral
GUUUUAAUAAUUUAAAUAAAAUAUUGGUCUUGUAAAUCAAAAAUAAGGUUUCUUUUAAAACU